Molecule: ribosomal RNA, 482 nt
Filed under: uncultured bacterium
Lineage: Bacteria
Description: partial 16S ribosomal RNA
Rfam family: Bacterial small subunit ribosomal RNA
Source: RNAcentral
AUUGAACGCUGGCGGCAGGCCUAACACAUGCAAGUCGAGCGGCUGAAGGGUGCUUGCUCCUGGUUUCAGCGGCGGACGGGUGAGUAAUGCCUAGGAAUCUGCCUGGUUGUGGUGUAUAACGUCCUGAAACGGGCGCUAAUACCGCAUACGUCCUGAGGGCGAACGUGGGGGAUCUUCGGACCUCCCGCUAUCAGAUGAUCCUAGGUCGGAUUAGCUAGUUGGGGGGGUAAAGGCCUACCAAGGCGACGAUCCGUAACUGGUCUGAGAGGAUGACCAGUCACACUGGAACUGAGACACGGUCCAGACUCCUACGAGAGGCAGCAGUGGGGAAUAUUGGAAAAUGGGCGAAAGUCUGAUACAGCCAUGCCGCGUGUGUGAAGAAGGUCUUCGGAUUGUAAAGCACUUUAAGUUGGGAGGAAGGGCAGUAAGUUAAUACCGUGCUGUUGUGACGUUACCAACAGAAUAAGCACCGGCUAACUGCG